UACGUUCCCGGGCCUUGUACACACCGCCCGUCACGUCACGAAAGUUGGUAACACCCGAAGCCGACGGCCUAACCCCGCAAGGGGGAGGGAGUUGUCGAAGGUGGGACUGGCGAUUGGGACG
Molecule: ribosomal RNA, 121 nt
Filed under: uncultured bacterium
Lineage: Bacteria
Description: partial 16S ribosomal RNA
Rfam family: Bacterial small subunit ribosomal RNA
Source: RNAcentral